GGUAAAAUGGCUGAGGUUAGGCAAUAAAUUGUAAAUUUAUCUACGAAUAAAAUAUUCUUUUACCA
This 65-nucleotide transfer RNA is filed under the name Geinula sp. BMNH 846542. RNAcentral describes it as "tRNA-Tyr". The record is from RNAcentral. Lineage: Eukaryota; Metazoa; Arthropoda; Insecta; Coleoptera; Chrysomelidae.